AGAUUCGAGUUCUCUCAGGGUCUGAGAGUAUAGAAUGUACUAAACACCCAACCAGAGUGAACUGAAGUGGAAAUGAAAGAAAAUCCAUUUUGAAGACUUAUGUCCCCUCCUUCUCUCCCUUCCUUUGAUGUGAAGGAAAAAGCUCAGCUUCCAGGGUGGUGAUAAUGGGAUAUUUUUUCCAGUUAGAUUCUUCAUCAUCUAACCCAACUGUGUCUUAAUUCUCCUACUUUCUUAAUUCUCCCUGAUGUAGCUCAGAGCCCUAACUAACUAAAUGGGCCCACACUGGGGAAGCCAGCACUAGAAAGAGAAAAAAAGCAAAAUAUUUCACAUCGAAAUAAAACAAACAACAAGACACGGGGUAGAGAAGUUCUCAUGAGCUGGACAGAGUAUGGCUGAAAGCUUUUCCCCAGAAAACAAACCUUGGGAGGAGCAACAAAGGACUCUUGUAGCCGACUUGAUGGGCAAGCUGAUCAAUGGCAGUACCAGGCACCUGUGACCUUCUUUGCACAGACAUACUGAGAGCCAGAAGUGCCUGGGAAUUAAUGUUCACCAGGAGUUAUCAGCAGCCAAUGACUGGGAGGAGGCAAGAACUCCAGAGGGGCUUAUCCGAGUGGCAGAAGGAGAGCCCCCACUGAAAAUGCCUGUUACACACCUUCUGGGAACCGCCCUCCUCUUUCACCUCCUCCCAGCCCCAGCUGGAAUUCCCAAAUGUAGCCUAAACCAGUACCAGGCCAGCGAAUAAAGGAAAUGGAAGCUGCCAAAACAGCGAGUCUUGGUCAGAAUUUCAGAGUCAUUUCUCAGGUCUGGGUUAGAGGAUCUAAAUACAGGGGAAGUCAAGCCAGAUUGUUGCCAUCCUAGCUACUUUUUGGAAUUGGGAAGCAUGUAAAGAUUGACUCCUUUUCCUAGCAUCCUUCGAAGAGCAGGAAAAGUGGGGCAGUAAGUAUUCAGAAGCAUCUGUUUCCUGCCUGUGCCCCUCUGAGUACCAGAGGGGGCCAGCAGAACAACCUGCAUGGUCCAUAAACACGCAGGGAGGGCUGUGACUUAGGAAGCCACACUGGCAGCUGAGCCUCCCCAGGAUGAAGAUGGGCAUUCACUGAAAAGCCGUUUUUGUGUUUCUUCCAGUACUGUUAUUUUUUUUUUAAGGUAUAACUUAAUAAAAUGUAGAUUUUUUUUCCAAAUGCCUGCUUUAUCAUUACCGAUGUGUGGAUUUUGACAGAUAAGUACACCCAUGGAACCCACCACCCAUCAAGAAACAGAACUUAGGUUUCUUGUAAACAGAACUUACAGGCACGGUGGCUCACACCUGUAAUCUCAGCACUUUGGGAGUCCGAGGCAGGAGUAUCACCUGAGGUCAGGGAUUUGAGACCAGCCUAGCCAACAUAUAGUGAAACCCUGUUUCUACUAAAAAAAAAAAAAAAAAAUUAGCUGGGUGGUGGUGCACGCCUGUAGUCCCAGCUACUUGGGAAGUUGAGGCAGGAGAAUCACUUGAACAUGGCAGGUGGAGAUUGCAAUGAGCCAUGAUUGAGCCACUGCACUCCAGCUUGGGCAACAGAGCAAGACUGUCUCUCAAAAAAACAAAGCAAAACAAAACAAAACAAACUAACAGAUCUUGUCCAUCACUGCAACAAAUUCCCUAAUGCUGUUUGCUUCAAUCUUCCACUCAUCAAAGGAAACCUCUGAUGUAUCUGGUUUCUGUCAUUACAGAGCAGUUUGCUCUUUCUAAUGUCGUAUUAAUGAAACUACACAGUAUGUAGUUGUUUUCUGGCUUUGUUUGCUCAGAAUGCAGUUUUUAAAGAUCACCCAUGUAGGAACAUAUAUCAGAGCACCUAUAUGUAGUUUGUUUCAUUUUAGUGAUGAUUAACAUUUCACGAUAUGGUCAUACCACCAUUUGUUUAUGCAUUCAUCUGUUGAUAGGCAUUUGGGUUGUUUAUUGGUUUGUGGCUGUUAUGAAUAAAGUUGCAAUUAAUAUUCUUCU
Non-coding RNA from Callithrix jacchus (white-tufted-ear marmoset), 1975 nucleotides. The record is from RefSeq and is a predicted model, not a curated record. NCBI's taxonomy places the organism in Eukaryota, Metazoa, Chordata, Mammalia, Primates, Cebidae.